AGUGGCGGACGGGUGAGUAACGCGUGGGUAACCUACCCAUAAAACCGGGACAACUCUGGGAAACUGGAGCUAAUACCGGAUACGCUCGCUAGGUGGCAUCACCUGGCGAGGAAAGGUGGCCUCUGAAAAUGCUGCCGAUUAUGGAUGGACCCGCGUCUGAUUAGCUAGUUGGUAGGGUAACGGCCUACCAAGGCGACGAUCAGUAGCCGGCCUGAGAGGGUGGCCGGCCACACUGGGACUGAGACACGGCCCAGACUCCUACGGGAGGCAGCAGUGGGGAAUAUUGCGCAAUGGGCGAAAGCCUGACGCAGCAACGCCGCGUGGGUGAAGAAGGCCUUCGGGUUGUAAAGCCCUGUCUUUUUGGACGAAGUGCUUUCAGGUAAAUAGUCUGAAAGAGUGACGGUACAAGAGGAGGAAGCCCCGGCUAACUACGUGCCAGCAGCCGCGGUAAAAC
This 454-nucleotide ribosomal RNA is filed under the name uncultured bacterium. RNAcentral describes it as "bacterial SSU rRNA". It matches the Rfam family "Bacterial small subunit ribosomal RNA", at positions 94 to 526 of the family's 1533-position model. The record is from RNAcentral.